GACGGAUCCCCGACCGGAUCCCCGGACGACGGAUCAGUACCCGGUACGCGACAAGACUGGCCAGG
RNAcentral lists this non-coding RNA (65 nucleotides) under Microbacterium trichothecenolyticum. The record is from RNAcentral. Lineage: Bacteria; Bacillati; Actinomycetota; Actinomycetes; Micrococcales; Microbacteriaceae.